This 2350-nucleotide long non-coding RNA is filed under the name Equus caballus (horse). RNAcentral describes it as "lncRNA (ENSECAG00000047544.1)". The record is from RNAcentral. Lineage: Eukaryota; Metazoa; Chordata; Mammalia; Perissodactyla; Equidae.
UUUUCCUUUCAGAUAAAAGGAAUAAAAACUCAUCCUAGGGGAUGCAAAUCAGUCAAACCCAGAGGCAGCUAAGGGGGGCACUGAGCAAGGCUGAGAAGCAGGAGAAGGAGAGAAAAGCCUUUCCUGGGAACCAGGAGAAGGCGAGAUGCACGCACACAUCCACGCCGGGCUGACUCCACAGAAAACCAGCUCCCAUCAACAUGUCAGGACAGUCAGAGUUUUCUGGAAGGUUUUGUUCUGACUGGGGGUUUCUUGACCUGGGGUCCACGGACACAGAAUGCCAUGGUUCGGAGAACACCUGUGGACUUGGAAGGGAAGGAAAACUCCCAAGAAACGAUUCUACAAAGGGGAGUGGGUGUGGAAUAAGGAGGCGCUCUGAAUUUAUCUCGUUUGUCAUCCCCAACCUUCAAGACAAACUCUGCCAACGUCCCCCUCGCGUCCACUGCCACUGCAGGGAGUCAGAGGGUGGGCGUCCCAGGUGUCCUCAAGCGCUGCUGCAUGUCAGAAACACGUGGAGCCUCAGGAAUGCUCACGCCCACGUCCAGCCCAGGUUCAAACUCCCUGCGAGGUUGGCAAGCACAGCCCAAGGGACGUGCAGACUGAGAACCACCGGGCUCGACUCAGGCCUGGUGAAGGCGUGGUGGAGAGCAAGGACCUCCUCACGCCGGCAGAAAGGCGGGAGUGGACUCAGCAAAGGAACCAGGGAUGCGCAUCGCAGGGUCGGAGUCUGAGUAACCGAACCUGCAGCCUCCUGGCCUCCAGAAACGUCACAUUUUAUUCUGAGUAAAGAAAGUAGCAUUUCUUGAGACAGAUGUUCAACAAAUUUCUAUCAGAUGAACGACUGUAUACCACGUGGAUUGGUAUUUAGAAUGGACUGUGCACUUGGGGAAACAAUAUCGUGAAGACGGUUCCACAUCUUCCUGAGUUCUGUGAGCUCGUUUAAGGCAGGUGUUUAAAGUCUUGGUCUGGUAGGUCUGCCAUCCGGCCGUUUUCAGGGACAGCUCUGUUGAGUUAGCUUUUCCUUGCAACAGGCCAUAUUUCCUGUUUCUUUGUGUGCCUUGUGAUUUUUAGUUGAAAUCUGGACCCUUGAAGCUAACGAGGUGGUAACUCUGGAAAUCAGAUCCUCCCCUCCGUGGGGUUUGCUGUCUCGUGUCGUGUUUCUGUGGUUUUGAUUGUCGCAGGCUGUGCUGAGGAUGGGCCCGAGGCGUCAGCUUGUCAGCUUGAGGUUUUCUCAGGUGUUUUCUGAGUCGCUGCCUUUCCCUGGGCACACACAGUCACUUCCUAAUUUCCCUGGUGUGCAACGGUUUGAACGUCCUAGUCUUUAGUGUCUGGCUCCCAAAAUGUAAGACAGAGAAAAAAGGUGGGGAGGAGGGUGCCAACCCUUUAAAUCCCCUGGGAUCACCUCAGCCUGAGUGCCUUGCCACAAUGUGGGGGGGGGGGGGUGCAACAACAAGGGUUGCCCCCUCUGUGACUGCCCCUCUGUGAUCAGAAGCAGCAAUCACAACACAGAUCCCCGUUAUCUGGAGGACAGGGUCCUUUUUGCUGGCUGUGUCCGUGUCUCCCGCACGCCUGUGCGAGCCGCUGCAGGAACACGCACACAGUUGCCUCCACGUGGCCGGGGGUAGGGGCCUGGGUAGCGGCUCCUGUGCUAAGAGCUGGAACUGACUGACAUUAAUCUCAAUUGACCGUCCAAGGCUUCCUCUGGGAGUUGCAAGCCUUCAGCAGACUCCAGGGCUCCCACUUAGUUCCCUCAGACAGAUCCUGCCGGCACAGUUGCUCUCCGUGUGGAUGGGGAGCCAGAUUCCCACCCCACUCCGCCUUCCAACUCCGCCUUCUUCCCAGAAUUCUCUCUGUGACUGUUUCUUGAGGGUGGGGGUGUAGAUGAUUCUCACCUUAUUUUGUUUACUUUGUUUAUUUCUGCUUUGUAUGAAUUUUUAAUAAACACAUUACUUUCAUAAUCAGAAAUAAAGAAUUUAUAUUCUGGAAAAGGAAAAGCACGGCCCUAAUUUACCCCUCCUGCUGAGUCUGCCGGUCAUUCCGCGAGUCUGUUCACCUCCACUCUUGAGGAAUAUGAGCCUGUCUACCGGAAGAAAGAUGACCUUUCCAGGACCCUUUGCAGCUAGCCUGGAAUGCAGCGGCCACCACCUUGAGCCGAGGCUGAGACCCUGCCCUGAGUGAGGCCACGACGUCACCCCUGGGUGCCUGACCCAGCAGAGCAUCACACCCUCCUGAGCCUACACCUGGACUUUCCCACGAGGCAGCCACUCACUUCCCUCUCGUGUAAGCCACCGUCGCUUGCUGUUUUCUAGUCAAUCACAGGCAGACCUUACCUGGAUUAAUCUAUCUCUUG